This is a long non-coding RNA of Fukomys damarensis (Damara mole-rat), 1283 nucleotides long. RefSeq lists it as uncharacterized. NCBI's taxonomy places the organism in Eukaryota, Metazoa, Chordata, Mammalia, Rodentia, Bathyergidae. The record is from RefSeq and is a predicted model, not a curated record. The transcript has 2 exons.
GGUACUAAAAUUAGAGGCGUGUGCCACCACGCUUGGCUUCACCCCCAAUUUAUUCUAAAUUUUGUUCUUAGUUUAGGACACGCCCAUUUCAUCCCAGCCCUGCCAAACGGCAUUCCCAGAAACCUGGAUUCAGCCUUCCCAAGGCUCCGCCCUUCAGGCGGUUCCCUGUUUUUUGCUCCCACUUUCAACCUGCCAAUCAGAGCCCGCCCCUGCUUCAGGCCACACCCUCUCCCGAAUAUCGGUGGUUGGCUCACAGCGUAACUGCAAGCCCCGCCUUCUCUGCCCGUCAGCCAAUCCACCGGUGCGGGCAAUGUGAAGCCACAUCCACCUGCCCUUGGCCUGGUUUCUCCCCCCCUACAACCGUAACCCGACCUGUCUCCGCCCGGAUCUACAGUGUCUGGACCUGGGACCAUGAGGGUCCUACUCACUCCAUUCUGGCCGCCAAUCUCUGGUUGAAAUAGCCUGGGUUUUCCUAGGCCAUGAGCACACAAGGCCACGCCCACAACGCGCCCCACAUGGACCCCGCCCCGCGUGGCUCUACCCCGCCCUCCCUUUCCGGACCCCUAGUCUCUGGACGGGCUGGGGAGACCUGGAGGUGGCUUCUGCCUGCUGUGUCACGCUCCUGCUGCCCUUCCCCCCACCAGGUGGCCGCCUUGCAGCUGAUGGCAACGCCGGAGCUGGCGGGACAGGAGGACGGCGCACGGAUGCACCAGCUGAAACUCAAAAACUCGCGGGGCAUUGCUGGGACACAGCUGCCCCCUUUGGCCCGUGUCAGCCCUGCACAUAUGGUUGAACCUGGAGCUCGGAUUCGGGACCUGCCAAGCUGGCACUGUUAACUUCCCGUGGCCUGCACACUUCCACUCGCCGAGAUGGCCUUUCCCACCCCCAAGCUGACCCACAGCCACCCCACCUGGCACCGUCCCCAGGGCUGCCUGGGGCUGUAGCAGGGGGCAAGCAGGAGGGCCUGGGGCUUGCCACAGCCCCCACGGAGCUAACUGCGCAGCGGCAGCUAAUUCACCCCAUCUGGGUUUUAUUUAUAGUUCCCAUUCGCUCUCGUAGGGUAAUUAAAACCAUGGAGGCGAUCAGCGAGGUUCUCCAGGACCUUAGGUUUGAUGCGGAAUCUGCAGAGUGAUGGCGGCUCCCGGGGGACACCCGAGAGAGCUGGGAAAUGAGGCCAGGGGCAUGGAGCCCAGCCCUGACCACCAGCUGGCCCAGGUGGUGGCCCCUGGGACCAGGACUCCUCCACUGCGGUACCACCCACAAUAAAGAACCCUGCGCCUGCA